GAGAUGAGGUACAGAUAAUAGAAGUGAACAGUGUAUGUUAAAAUGGUACUGUGCGAGUUACCGGACGUGUAUCAGUAGAAAUUGAGAGUUCUAAAACGCAAGUGCUAGUGAACUGUGUCGACAGAAGGUUGCACAUCGCAAACAAUGAGUACCUCGGAGACGAUGAAGUUAUCACAGGGGUCAGCUUUGGUCGUUAAUCAGUUAGGGAACGUAGGAUUGAAUGUAAAAGAUGUGGGUAAGUCCCGCAGCUACGGAAGUAUCCUGGAGGAGAGGAAAAGGUGCGGUUGGAGCGCAAGUGGCAACUCGUCCAUCGUAACAGGUAAGGAGUCUGGGCUGAGCAGUGCUGUGGUUAGCACCUCACUAGCAUCAUUGUGGCUCAUAUUUAUGGAGCUUUGAGGCCAGAAGAGCUUAAGAGCAGUAUUUAUGGAUGCUAAAUUUGGUGAUACUAUUAUCAUGGCAUGGUUUUUGGCCCUAUAAAACUAUAAUUCCGACGCCAAGAAGAUCAGUAAUAGGGCGAGGCCAACAGUACUGCCGUGACUCCAUCGCCACCAUGUUGAUAGCCACUGCAAGUUAAGCCACCAGUACCAUCAGCCUUCCACUAAAUUGUUUAUAUUUGGCACUCUGUAAAUGGACCAGGUAUUUGUGAAAUUUUGUUGAUUUUAAUAAUAAUCUUGGUGUUAAAAACUCUA
Molecule: long non-coding RNA, 689 nt
Organism: Schistocerca serialis cubense
Lineage: Eukaryota; Metazoa; Arthropoda; Insecta; Orthoptera; Acrididae
Exons: 2
Source: RefSeq, a predicted model, not a curated record